Molecule: ribosomal RNA, 465 nt
Filed under: uncultured bacterium
Lineage: Bacteria
Description: partial 16S ribosomal RNA
Rfam family: Bacterial small subunit ribosomal RNA
Source: RNAcentral
GACGAACGCUGGCGGCGUGCUUAACACAUGCAAGUCGAACGGAAAGGCCCCUUUGGGGGUCCUCGAGUGGCGAACGGGUGAGUAACACGUGAGUAACCUGCCCUUGACUUCCGGAUAACUUCAGGAAACUGGGGCUAAUACCGGGUAGGAAUCCUUGAUGCAUGGUGGGUGUUGGAAAGCUACGGCGGUUUUGGCUGGAGUCGCGGCUUAUCAGCUUGUUGGUGGGGUAGUGGCUUAGCAAGGCUUUGGCGGGUAGCCGGCCUGAGAGGGCGACCGGCCACAGCGGCACUGGGAUACGGCCACGACCCAGACUGGUGGCAGAAGUAGCAAAGAGUGAUAAAUGGGCGUAAGCCUGAUGCAGAACCGGCGCGGGCGGGAUGGCGGUGAACGGGUUGGAAUCCGAAUGCAGCAGGAGCGAGGAUUAUAGUGACGGUACCUGCAGAAGAAGCACCGGCUAACUACGUG